GGUUAAGUUAGAAAGGGCGCACGGUGAAUGCCUUGGCACUAGGAGCCGAUGAA
This 53-nucleotide ribosomal RNA is filed under the name Priestia megaterium. RNAcentral describes it as "Bacillus megaterium partial 23S ribosomal RNA". The record is from RNAcentral. Lineage: Bacteria; Bacillati; Bacillota; Bacilli; Caryophanales; Bacillaceae.